This 451-nucleotide ribosomal RNA is filed under the name uncultured bacterium. RNAcentral describes it as "partial 16S ribosomal RNA". It matches the Rfam family "Bacterial small subunit ribosomal RNA", at positions 28 to 507 of the family's 1533-position model. The record is from RNAcentral.
AGCGAACGCUGGCGGCAUGCCUAACACAUGCAAGUCGCACGGGGGGGCUUCGGCCUCCCAGUGGCGGACGGGUGAGGAACGCGUAGGGACCUGUCGAGGGGUGGGGGAUAACCGCGGGAAACUGCGGCUAAUACCGCAUGACGCCGCGGCGUGACAGCCGGGGCCAAAGGCGAAAGCCGCCCGCCGAGGGGCCUGCGUCCGAUUAGCUGGUUGGCGGGGUAGCGGCCCACCAAGGCGUCGAUCGGUAGCUGGUCUGAGAGGGUGAUCAGCCACACCGGGACUGAGACACGGCCCGGACUCCUACGGGAGGCAGCAGUGGGGAAUAUUGGGCAAUGGGCGCAAGCCUGAUCCAGCAAUGCCGCGUGGGUGAAGUAGGUCUUCGGAUUGUAAAGCCCUUUCGGCGGGGACGAUGGUGACGGUACCCGCAGAAGAAGCCCCGGCUAACUUCGUG